This 397-nucleotide ribosomal RNA is filed under the name uncultured bacterium. Its description in RNAcentral is "partial 16S ribosomal RNA". It matches the Rfam family "Bacterial small subunit ribosomal RNA", at positions 523 to 918 of the family's 1533-position model. The record is from RNAcentral.
AUACGUAGGUGGCAAGCGUUGUCCGGAAUUAUUGGGCGUAAAGCGCGCGCAGGCGGUCCUUUAAGUCUGAUGUGAAAGCCCACGGCUCAACCGUGGAGGGUCAUUGGAAACUGGGGGACUUGAGUGCAGAAGAGGAAAGUGGAAUUCCAAGUGUAGCGGUGAAAUGCGUAGAGAUUUGGAGGAACACCAGUGGCGAAGGCGCCUUUCUGGUCUUUAACUGACGCUGAGGCGGGAAAGCGUGGGGAGCAAACAGGAUUAGAUACCCUGGUAGUCCACGCCGUAAACGAUGAGUGCUAAGUGUUAGGGGGUUUCCGCCCCUUAGUGCUGCAGCUAACGCAUUAAGCACUCCGCCUGGGGAGUACGGUCGCAAGACUGAAACUCAAAUGAAUUGGCGGUG